GGCUCCAUAGCUUAGAGGAAAGAAGCGCCCGUCUAGCUAAAUGGGAGUCGUGGGUUCGAUUCCCACCGGAGCAC
This is a non-coding RNA of Aedes albopictus (Asian tiger mosquito), 74 nucleotides long. The record is from Rfam. NCBI's taxonomy places the organism in Eukaryota, Metazoa, Arthropoda, Insecta, Diptera, Culicidae.